UGGGGAAUAUUGCACAAUGGGCGCAAGCCUGAUGCAGCCAUGCCGCGUGUGUGAAGAAGGCCUUCGGGUUGUAAAGCACUUUCAGCUGGGAGGAAGGCGAUAAGGUUAAUAACCUUGUCGAUUGACGUUACCCGCAGAAGAAGCACCGGCUAACUCCGUGCCAGCAGCCGCGGUAAUACGGAGGGUGCAAGCGUUAAUCGGAAUUACUGGGCGUAAAGUGCACGCAGGCGGUCUGUCAAGUCGGAUGUGAAAUCCCCGGGCUCAACCUGGGAACUGCAUUCGAAACUGGCAGGCUAGAGUCUUGUAGAGGGGGGUAGAAUUCCAGGUGUAGCGGUGAAAUGCGUAGAGAUCUGGAGGAAUACCGGUGGCGAAGGCGGCCCCCUGGACAAAGACUGACGCUCAGGUGCGAAAGCGUGGGGAGCAAACAGG
This 429-nucleotide ribosomal RNA is filed under the name Chloroflexota bacterium. RNAcentral's name for it is "Chloroflexi bacterium partial 16S ribosomal RNA". It matches the Rfam family "Bacterial small subunit ribosomal RNA", at positions 355 to 776 of the family's 1533-position model. The record is from RNAcentral. Lineage: Bacteria; Bacillati; Chloroflexota.